Molecule: ribosomal RNA, 460 nt
Filed under: uncultured bacterium
Lineage: Bacteria
Description: SSU rRNA
Rfam family: Bacterial small subunit ribosomal RNA
Source: RNAcentral
AGAAUCAACGCUGGCGGCGUGCCUAACACAUGCAAGUCGCACGAGAAAGGGACUUCGGUCCUGAGUAAAGUGGCGCACGGGUGAGUUAACACGUGAAUCAUCUACCUCCGAAUGGGGAAUAACUGAGAGAAAUCUUAGCUAAUACCGCAUAAUACCUACGGGUCAAAGCAGCAAUGCGUUUGGAGAGGAGUUCGCGGUCGAUUAGUUAGUUGGCGGGGUAAUGGCCCACCAAGACGAUGAUCGAUAUCCGGCCUGAGAGGGCGCACGGACACACUGGAACUGAAACACGGUCCAGACUCCUACGGGAGGCAGCAGUGGGGAAUUUUGCGCAAUGGGGGAAACCCUGACGCAGCAACGCCGCGUGGAGGAUGAAAUAUCUUGGUAUGUAAACUCCUUUCGAUGGGAAGAUAACGACGGUACCAUAGAAGAAGCCCGGCUAACUUCGUGCCAGCAGCCGCGA